This 518-nucleotide ribosomal RNA is filed under the name uncultured fungus. RNAcentral's name for it is "SSU rRNA". It matches the Rfam family "Eukaryotic small subunit ribosomal RNA", at positions 214 to 732 of the family's 1831-position model. Lineage: Eukaryota; Fungi. The record is from RNAcentral.
AUUAAAAACCAAUGCCCUUCGGGGCUCUCUGGUGAUUCAUAAUAACUUCUCGAAUCGCACGGCCUUGCGCCGGCGAUGGUUCAUUCAAAUUUCUGCCCUAUCAACUUUCGACGGCUGGGUCUUGGCCAGCCGUGGUGACAACGGGUAACGGAGGGUUAGGGCUCGACCCCGGAGAAGGAGCCUGAGAGACGGCCACUACAUCCAAGGAAGGCAGCAGGCGCGCAAAUUACCCAAUCCCGACACGGGGAGGUAGUGACAAUAAAUACUGAUACAGGGCUCUUUCGGGUCUUGUAAUUGGAAUGAGUACAAUUUAAAUCCCUUAACGAGGAACAAUUGGAGGGCAAGUCUGGUGCCAGCAGCCGCGGUAAUUCCAGCUCCAAUAGCGUAUAUUAAAGUUGUUGAGGUUAAAAAGCUCGUAGUUGAACCUUGGGCCUAGCCGGCCGGUCCGCCUCACCGCGUGCACUGGCUCGGCUGGGUCUUUCCUUCUGGAGAACCGCAUGCCCUUCACUGGGUGUGCC